GCCUCGUUAGCGCAGUAGGCAGUGCGUCAGGCCCAUAAUCUGAAGGUCGUGAGUUCGAUCCUCACACGAGGCA
This 73-nucleotide transfer RNA is filed under the name Saccoglossus kowalevskii. RNAcentral's name for it is "tRNA-Met". It matches the Rfam family "tRNA". From Rfam's summary of the family: Transfer RNA (tRNA) molecules are approximately 80 nucleotides in length. Their secondary structure includes four short double-helical elements and three loops (D, anti-codon, and T loops). Further hydrogen bonds mediate the characteristic L-shaped molecular structure. tRNAs have two regions of fundamental functional importance: the anti-codon, which is responsible for specific mRNA codon recognition, and the 3' end, to which the tRNAs corresponding amino acid is attached (by aminoacyl-tRNA synthetases). tRNAs cope with the degeneracy of the genetic code in two manners: having more than one tRNA (with a specific anti-codon) for a particular amino acid; and 'wobble' base-pairing, i.e. permitting non-standard base-pairing at the 3rd anti-codon position. The record is from RNAcentral. Lineage: Eukaryota; Metazoa; Hemichordata; Enteropneusta; Harrimaniidae.